This 301-nucleotide ribosomal RNA is filed under the name uncultured bacterium. Its description in RNAcentral is "partial 16S ribosomal RNA". It matches the Rfam family "Bacterial small subunit ribosomal RNA", at positions 509 to 807 of the family's 1533-position model. The record is from RNAcentral.
CAGUAGCCACGGGAAUACGAAGGGGGCUAGCGUUGUUCGGAAUCACUGGGCGUAAAGCGCACGUAGGCGGACACUUAAGUCAGAGGUGAAAUCCCAAGGCUCAACCUUGGAACUGCCUUUGAUACUGGGUGUCUUGAGGUCGAGAGAGGUGAGUGGAACUGCGAGUGUAGAGGUGAAAUUCGUAGAUAUUCGCAAGAACACCAGUGGCGAAGGCGGCUCACUGGCUCGAUUCUGACGCUGAGGUGCGAAAGCGUGGGGAGCAAACAGGAUUAGAUACCCCCGUAGUCCCUGUCUCUUAUAC